CGGCCCCACGCACCAGGGUAAGA
RNAcentral lists this non-coding RNA (23 nucleotides) under Dasypus novemcinctus (nine-banded armadillo). Its record names the gene dno-miR-874-5p. The record is from miRBase by way of RNAcentral. Lineage: Eukaryota; Metazoa; Chordata; Mammalia; Cingulata; Dasypodidae. RNAcentral also lists the same sequence under 16 other names.